Molecule: ribosomal RNA, 176 nt
Filed under: Candidatus Poseidoniia archaeon
Lineage: Archaea; Methanobacteriati; Thermoplasmatota; Candidatus Poseidoniia
Description: partial 23S ribosomal RNA
Rfam family: Archaeal large subunit ribosomal RNA
Source: RNAcentral
CUAAGCUCGAAACCCGCCUCGAGACGAGGCACUUUGACGCCCGUAGAAGACGGGAUGAUAGGACCGGGGUGUACGCACCGAGAAUUAUAGUGGCGCCAGAAACCGCUUCGGCGGCGGAAGGUACCACUUCGAGGUGUUCAGCCCGCCGGUUACUAAGAGUCAUUACUGCUAUCAGG